Molecule: ribosomal RNA, 446 nt
Filed under: uncultured bacterium
Lineage: Bacteria
Description: bacterial SSU rRNA
Rfam family: Bacterial small subunit ribosomal RNA
Source: RNAcentral
GAUCCUGGCUACAGAACGAACGCUGGCGGCAGGCCUAACACAUGCAAGUCGAACGCUCCGCAAGGGGAGUGGCAGACGGGUGAGUAACACGUGGGAACCUUCCCAUCGCUACGGAAUAGCUCAGGGAAACUUGGGGUAAUACCGUAUACGCCCGAAAGGGGAAAGAUUUAUCGGCGAUGGAUGGGCCCGCGGCUGAUUAGCUAGUUGGUGAGGUAAACGGCUCACCAAGGCGACGAUCAGUAGCUGGUCUGAGAGGACGACCAGCCACACUGGGACUGAGACACGGCCCAGACUCCUACGGGAGGCAGCAGUGGGGAAUAUUGGACAAUGGGCGCAAGCCUGAUCCAGCCAUGCCGCGUGAGUGACGAAGGUCUUCGGAUUGUAAAGCUCUUUUGGCGGGGACGAUAAUGACGGUACCCGCAGAAUAAGCCCCGGCUAACUUCGUG